GAUGAACGCUGGCGGCGUGCUUAACACAUGCAAGUCGAACGGAAAGGCCCAAGCUUGCUUGGGUACUCGAGUGGCGAACGGGUGAGUAACACGUGGGUGAUCUGCCCUGCACUUCGGGAUAAGCCUGGGAAACUGGGUCUAAUACCGGAUAGGACCAUGGUUUGGAUGCCAUUGUGGAAAGUUUUUUCGGUGUGGGAUGAGCUCGCGGCCUAUCAGCUUGUUGGUGGGGUAAUGGCCUACCAAGGCGUUGACGGGUAGCCGGCCUGAGAGGGUGUACGGCCACAUUGGGGAUGAGGAACGGGCCAGGAUCCUACGGGAGGCAGGAGUGGGGAAUAUUGGACAAUGGGGGGAAGCCUGAUGCAGCGACGCCGCGUGGGGGAUGACGGCCUUUGGGGUGUAAACUCCUUUCGCUAGGGAAGAAGCGUUUUUGUGACGGUACCUGGAGAAGAAGCACCGGCUAACUACGUG
Molecule: ribosomal RNA, 468 nt
Filed under: uncultured bacterium
Lineage: Bacteria
Description: partial 16S ribosomal RNA
Rfam family: Bacterial small subunit ribosomal RNA
Source: RNAcentral